This is a long non-coding RNA of Gymnodraco acuticeps, 1358 nucleotides long. RefSeq lists it as uncharacterized. Lineage: Eukaryota; Metazoa; Chordata; Actinopteri; Perciformes; Bathydraconidae. The transcript has 3 exons. The record is from RefSeq and is a predicted model, not a curated record.
AACAACCGAGAGAAAAGAGCUGUGCCGCUGAGAUCUGCUCCAGUAACAUUCCCACGAUAGCUUAUAAUCGUAGGAUAUAAUACAAAAUAGUUGUAUGCAACCCGCAUCAGCCGGUUUGCUCGGCUUUUCUGCACAAAAGGGCACUGACAUCUGGUGACAAUGGCCACGGCGGGAAAGAGGAAAGAGAGCCUGGGCCUCAGACUGCUGUCUCUGCAGCUCCACUGGAGGUGUGGCACCGCACCCCCCCCCCCCCCCACCGCCACCCGGCUCUACCCAGUGUCUCUGAUGUGGGAGGCUGCCAAAUUAGCCAGGAGAGCCUUGCGGCAGUGUGUCUCCUCUGCAAAUUAGAGGAGAGAGCGGAGGAAGACCAGAGAGAGGGCAAACACAGGACAGAGCGAGAGAGAGAUUGCAGGUUCAAAGAGCUAAUGACCUGCAUACGAGUCGUGCACAGGGAGUUGAGCGAGGAGUAGACAUGAUCUCAUCCCAUGUGCUUGUUAGUACCUGAUCAGACAAGGGAGUGACAUUUGGUAUACAAAAUAGUAUAUUGAAAGAUUGUUGACAACUAGCUUUGCUCACUUAACAGAUAAUAACAACAGUAAUUAUGUGCUUAUACUUCUUUCAUGUCCAUACUCCAGCAGAGCAGGUUUACGACUUACUUGGUGUGACAGACAAUAUGACAGCUCUGUCUUUGAGCCCUAAAGCUGUGGGUAUUUUCUAGGUUUUAUCAAAUAAUAAAAGUUGAUGCCAUGUCUUAAAAGAAAAUAAUCCUGGUGAUAUCUUAUAUUUUUUAUAUUGUCAACAAAUCCCACAAAAAUGCCCAAACCAAUAAUGUGUUAGUCUGUGUUUUAUUUGUUCUGAAAACCCUGUCUGUCUUUCAGAAAAUCCAUUAAGUUUCCUGAAAAAGCGAGGCAAUGUGGUUUCUAGCAAACAUUAGACAAAAAAUGUAAAUUGUGCACUAUUUACAGCAGUGGAUUCAUACAGAUGUAGUGCUAUAGUGUGGCAGUAUUUACAGCAGCAGGACAAUGUAUGUGAGAUAUAAUUAAAAUACACAACAUUGCCCAUGUUUAUCAUAGUGAAGGAAUUUUUCAAAAGUAUGUAUUUUAAAUAGUUGUUGGACAACAAUUAUGGGUAAAAGGCACACCUGUCCUUUUAAUAUUGAAAAUCUUAAGUUCAAAACUCCAAUUAGAAGCAGUUUUUAUUUCUUGACAAAUAAGGCAUGAAGCCGUAAAUGGCCGAUAAUAAUCAUGCAGGUUUGGCAUCAUCUUCGUGGAAAAUGGUUGUCAAAUAUUGUCUUUAAAACAGCUGCCAACAAGAAUUCUUAGAUGUUUCUUCAAGUAUCAUUAUUAAGAUGUGAUCGC